CCAUGUCGGACUGGCAGCGAGGGUCCAAGAUGGCGGUGGAGUGAGAGUGUGUCUAGUAAGCCUCCGUGAAACACGAGCGAUUUGUCUUGGAUAAUCAAGUCGUGUCGUGCCAAAAUUUGUUCUAUGCAGUCCUAAGGUGUCACGAGACCCAUUGGUGAGAGAACCCGGUGGAUUUACUAGUCAUGGAUUCCCCAGCAGCUGCGAUAUUCCUUCUGGCUGUCCUCGCCGCCAUUGCCAAUGCUCAAUUAAUACAACGACCGAACAAAGAAGUAUCGAUCAAGAGUGUCCGCAUCCUGUGUAACAGCAACGAUAUCGUCGUCUCCAUUGAAACCAACACGGCCUUCAAUGGCAUGAUCUACCCCAAGGGACUGUCCAAGAACUCCUCCUGCAUGGCGGAGUUCAGGGAGCAGAUCAGCCCCGUGUUGUACAAGUUGCCGCUCAAAUCAUGCAGCACCAUGAGCUCGGAAAUGGAUGACGGCAUCGAGUACUUCAACACGGUGGUGGUUCAGCCUCACAGGAAGCUCGUCACCAACCAAGGGCGAGGCUAUCACAUCCGUUGCAAGUACCAGACGCAGGAGAAGACCGUCACCAACGCCUUCAACGUCAGCGGAGACUUCGUUACGGACGCUGAAUGGAAGGCACCAAACGGGUCCAGCUUCGUUGGCACCACUCCGCUGACCGCCACGGCGCCCAUGCCCGGCUGCUACAUGAGGAUCUUCGCCGGCACGCCUGACGAGAAGCUGGUGGCGGAGAACGUGCGCAUCGGCGACCCGCUCACCAUGUCCAUCUCGCUGGACGACCAGGAGAUCUACGGCAUGAAGGUGACGGACUGCCUGGUGCGGGACGGCUUGGGCUGGGGAGAGCAGAUGCUGAUCAACAGUGACGGAUGCCCUGUCGACUACGAAAUCUUUGGUGCCCUGGAGUACUCGCCGUCCAAGACCUCGGCGACUGUCCGCUUUCAGGCUCACAAGUUCCCUUACAUCUCGUCUGUCUACUACCAGUGCAACGUGAAGCUUUGCAUCAAGAACGCCGGGGGCUGUGAUGACGUGCCGCCCCUGUGCGUGGAUGGCGAGAACGUCCUGCGCCGUCGUCGUCGUAGGGACGUGGAAGUGGAUGGGAACGGUGACCUGCGUGAAGUGGAGGCUGAGGUGGACGAGAACCUGACCAUUGAGGUGUUCACUGGUCUCUAUGUCAACGAGGACGAGGAGCUGCCGGAGCCUGAGGGAGCGUCGGACACACUGUCGCCGGUGAAGGAGGAAGUGGAGGAUGACCCAAACACCUUCUGCCUUUCCCCCAAGACCUUCGCCAUCGGCAUCGCCAUCGCCGGUCUCAUCCUCAUGGUGGCCGUCAUCGCAUCCAUCCUCAUCCUCAUCUCCCGGCGGCGCAGAAGAAAGGAGGACUCCACCACGGGCUCCUCUAUUUAUUCCAGUCCGUACACUAACACUGCCUACAGCCACUCCUCCUAGACGGCGGUCAUGCCUGUAGCAAGUUGUGUAGCUUUAUUCCUUUACUCGUAAUUUGUUUGUAAAAUGCGUGAGACUCAAUCCCAAACACGAACGAAUCGAACUUUGUGAGACUCCUGGGAUACAGACUCCAAACUGAAGCGCUUCACGGCACGGUACAUGAAGCAGAUUAGACGUGUUCGAAACCCUGAAUGAACGCCUUCCCCGCCCCGCCCCGCCCCGCCCCCCGGCCUCAGUGCAUGGCGUUGUCAGCAGGUGGGCGGACGCGGCUGCUUGGCGAGGGACGGUGGCACCACUUGACCUGAACCAAGGACAGGCUGAGGGUAAAUGGAGUGUAUCAGAUUCAACAAGAUGGUACAGAAAAGUGUGGAUGGGUGUCACUGCGCAACAAGACUGUGUUCUGGAGGGAAAGGAAUUAGAGGAAAUGGAAGGAAGGGAUGAAAGAAUGGGGACAGACGGCACAGAUAAACACCUUCCUUCAUUGUCUGUCACCCAAAGAAGACAAAAUGGAGACCUGGCCAGCCAAGUGAUGUAACUAUUGGGUGAGC
Molecule: unclassified non-coding RNA, 2011 nt
Filed under: Portunus trituberculatus (swimming crab)
Lineage: Eukaryota; Metazoa; Arthropoda; Malacostraca; Decapoda; Portunidae
Description: uncharacterized LOC123499423, transcript variant X3
Source: RNAcentral